UACGAAGGGGGCUAGCGUUGUUCGGAAUCACUGGGCGUAAAGCGCACGUAGGCGGAUUGUUAAGUCAGGGGUGAAAUCCUGGAGCUCAACUCCAGAACUGCCCUUGAUACUGGCGGUCUCGAGUCCGGGAGAGGUGAGUGGAACUGCGAGUGUAGAGGUGAAAUUCGUAGAUAUUCGCAAGAACACCAGUGGCGAAGGCGGCUCACUGGUCCGGUACUGACGCUGAGGUGCGAAAGCGUGGGGAGCAAACAGG
This 253-nucleotide ribosomal RNA is filed under the name uncultured bacterium. Its description in RNAcentral is "partial 16S ribosomal RNA". It matches the Rfam family "Bacterial small subunit ribosomal RNA", at positions 524 to 776 of the family's 1533-position model. The record is from RNAcentral.